Molecule: ribosomal RNA, 236 nt
Filed under: uncultured bacterium
Lineage: Bacteria
Description: partial 16S ribosomal RNA
Rfam family: Bacterial small subunit ribosomal RNA
Source: RNAcentral
CGGGUGAGUAACACGUGAGUAACCUCGCCCCCUUCCUUCUGGAUAACCGCAUGAAAGUGUGGCUAAUACGGGAUAUUCUGCGCCUGCUGCAUGGUGGGUGUGGGAAAGAUAUUGUUUCGGUGGGGGAUGGGCUCGCGGCCUAUCAGCUUGUUGGUGGGGUGAUGGCCUACCAAGGCGGUGACGGGUAGCCGGCCUGAGAGGGUGGACGGUCACACUGGGACUGAGACACGGCCCAG